RNAcentral lists this ribosomal RNA (490 nucleotides) under uncultured bacterium. RNAcentral describes it as "partial 16S ribosomal RNA". It matches the Rfam family "Bacterial small subunit ribosomal RNA", at positions 30 to 507 of the family's 1533-position model. The record is from RNAcentral.
AUUGAACGCUGGCGGCAGGCCUAACACAUGCAAGUCGAACGGUAACAGGAAGCAGCUUGCUGCUUCGCUGACGAGUGGCGGACGGGUGAGUAAUGUCUGGGAAGCUGCCUGAUGGAGGGGGAUAACUACUGGAAACGGUAGCUAAUACCGCAUAAUGUCGCAAGACCAAAGAGGGGGACCUUCGGGCCUCUUGCCAUCGGAUGUGCCCAGAUGGGAUUAGCUUGUUGGUGGGGUAACGGCUCACCAAGGCGACGAUCCCUAGCUGGUCUGAGAGGAUGACCAGCCACACUGGAACUGAGACACGGUCCAGACUCCUACGGGAGGCAGCAGUGGGGAAUAUUGCACAAUGGGCGCAAGCCUGAUGCAGCCAUGCCGCGUGUAUGAAGAAGGCCUUCGGGUUGUAAAGUACUUUCAGCGGGGAGGAAGGGAGUAAAGUUAAUACCUUGGCUAAUUGACGUUACCCGCAGAAGAAGCACCGGCUAACUCCGUG